RNAcentral lists this long non-coding RNA (1551 nucleotides) under Oncorhynchus mykiss (rainbow trout). RNAcentral's name for it is "lncRNA (ENSOMYG00000076635.1)". Lineage: Eukaryota; Metazoa; Chordata; Actinopteri; Salmoniformes; Salmonidae. The record is from RNAcentral.
AUGCGGUGUGCUGACGUCUUAGCUGAGAAUGCAACAGAUGGACACUGGGUGUUUGCCAAGGCUGUCUUCAAAAGCACGGUGACGGGGACAGUCACACUGUCCCAGCAGACCUUUCUGGAUGGCAGCAACAGUGACAUCACUCUGGAGGUGGACGUGCGGGCGUCACAGGUGCUAGAUGUAACAGAGGUUUCCUGGACCAUCACUGGUAAAGGCUCUGAGGUGAACGACAACCAGUGUCCCGGUGUUGGGGACACGUUUAACCCCUUCAACAUGGAAGCUGGGAACUCCAGUUGUUCCCGUGACAACGCUCUGAGUUGUGAGGUGGGAGACCUGACGACCAGACAGGGGACAGUCAGCUUGACACACAGACAGCUUUACACCGACACCAGCAUACAACUGGCUGGGGACUACACAGGUAACACACAAGCAUGUACACACACACACACACACACACACACACACACACACACACACACACACACACACACACACACACACACACACACACACACACACACACACACACACACACAGCACUGUAAGCUGGACCAGACAGAAUACAGAUAGCUGUACUCAGACACCAGCAUACACAUGUCAGGGGAGUACACAGGUAACAGACACACAUUGUUUGUUCAGAAAUCUAGACUCCUUUAGGGUGCACAUGAAACAUAAUAUUGAUUUGUUGUCAUUGCACGCUCACCGAACUGCAAUCCAAAAUUGUUGCAUCACAUUGUUUCCCAAGAGAAUCAAGUUUCGUGAGAAAAAUGUCAACCACCUUCACUAUUAGGGGAUAUGUCAUGUGUGAAACAACAAAGUCAUUUAGGUGAUAAUAUAAAAAGUAUAUUUCUGACUUUGGUGCUGUUGUUGAUGUUGUUGUUGUAGUGGUCCACAGGUCCCUGGUCCUGAGGAGAGGCAGCGAUGUCUUGGCGUGUGCCGUCAUUCUUCCAGAAUCCCCCUGGGCAGAGCAGACCUUCCCCAACGUCAUGUCUUUCAGCAGGUGGGUGUGAUUGGAUAUUAAACCGCCUGUGAACUCUAGACUGUGUUAGCCCAUCAAGCUAAGACCUACAGGGGUUCGUGUUGGGAGCCAAUAUGUGAGACUGAGCGGGUAUUAAACCAUGGAACUGGAGAGGGAAUGAGGAAGUGAAUGUUACAUGUAAUUAGACUACUUGUUUUUAAUACUUGAGUACCUGGCACUUACAUUUAUGGGGAAUAUUUCAACCAUCAAGGAAACACCAGUAUUAUCUUGCUCUGUGGAAAGGGUUCUACAUAGAACCCAAAAGGGUUCUACAAAGGGUUAUCCUAUGGGGACAGCCGAAGAACCCUUUUUUUCAAAGAGUGUAUUCUCACCACCUCCUCAGCCAGCCACCACAUGUGCCACACCUGAAUAAUCACUAAUCCUGAAUUAUGGGAUGACAGUACAUCAUCAUGAAUAUAUAUGUAUGCUGAGUGUACAAAACAUUAGGACCCCCUUCUCUUUCCAUGACAAACUGACCAGGUGAAUUCAGGUGAAAGCUGCAGUAUGAUCCCUUAUUGAUGUCACUUGUUAAAUCC